This is a long non-coding RNA of Acanthochromis polyacanthus (spiny chromis), 3043 nucleotides long. RefSeq lists it as uncharacterized. NCBI's taxonomy places the organism in Eukaryota, Metazoa, Chordata, Actinopteri, Pomacentridae. The record is from RefSeq and is a predicted model, not a curated record. The transcript is spliced from 4 exons.
CCAGACCACACAGGAAAGGUGACCAUAGGAGCAGAAUAAGCACAGCCAAUGAGGAGACUUCUAAAAACCAGAUUACAAAGGUUGAAGUCUCUCAGGACAACCUCCCACACAUGCUUGGCCUCCUCGUCUGUGAGCUUGGAAAGAUCAAGCUUUUUGGCUGCAGUGGUGCCAGGCAUGACUGUGGACCUGAUGCCGUGCUGCUGAAUAUUCAUCUACGGAUCCACUCUGGUCCAACAGACAUAUACUCAAGCUGACAGGAAUUCGUUAUAUCCAUUUAAGGUGUCUCUGGAUCUGGAGUUACAAGUCUCUGAUCUGCAGUUUCUGGUCUCACUGACCUCUAAAAUGUUUGUGGUUCCCUUUGUAUUAUUUGUCUGUUCUCUCUGCUCUCCUGCUAUCCCCCACCCAGUCAAGGCAGAUGGUCACCUUCCUGGAGCCUGGAUAUGCUGGAGGGUUAUUUGUUCCUCCUUGCUAAAGGGGAGGUUUGGUUCAUUCCCAUUGUCACUGACUGCUUGGCCAUAGGGAUCCAACAAGAACUUUUGAUUGUUGGGUUCUCUGUUUAAAAUUCAUGAGGUCUUCACCUUGCUGUGUUAAGUGCAAUGAGAUGACAUAUGUUGUGAACUGGCGCAAUGAACUCAGCGUUGAGUUCCUUUAAUUUUAACCAUUUGCAGUGAAUCUAAAGACCAGUAUCAGCUACCUUUGGUAUGUCUGUACCUCAAUGAUCCAGUGGAUGAGCAGGUUCAGUAGGGCCAACAUAGCUUUUGCUGAAACACCCUGACUAUAGUUAAGCCUGGAGCCUGCAAUGCUCAGUCUGUAUGCAUGUGUAACAAUAUUUUACAAUGUUAGUGAUGCAGAAGGUCUUGAAAAUGGAGCUAUAUGCUGCAAAAAAAGGGUAUUAUUAGUUCUCAGUGCCUUAGUACUUUAAUAUGUUUAUCACUUUCCCUGGUAACCUUGAAACAACAAGAAUCGAGGUUGGUGUUUUAUUUAAUGGCAGUUAUGUGAUAGAUGAAAUAAAAGUGAAGUAGCCUACAGGCUGACAAACCACUAUAUGAACAUAAUUCUCUCCUCUACCCCUCCCUAACGCUAUAGGUGCAAUAGACCAUGUGCAUUUCCAGGCCCCAUCUGGACCCGUGGAGAGAGACUAUGUCAAUCAGAAAUCUUUCCAUAGCUUAAAUGUACUGGAAACAGCUGUUCAUACAGUAUCUAGCGGAACAGUAAGAAUUGGAUUUGGAUGAAUGUGCACAUCUGUGAUAAUAGAUCUGAUUAGUUUUUAUGUCAGCAUUUGUUUGGAUUGAAAGCCUGUUACCCAGGCAACUCACAGAAAGUCUAACUCAAAGAAGCAACCGUACUGUAUAGAGAUAUAUAUCAUGCAGCUGCAAAACCAGACUGUAAAUCUUUUACAAAGCAAGAACCAAAUGUUAACAUAUUAAUCUGUAAUAUGAGAUAAAUAUACAGAUAAUUCUGAAAUGGAUUAACAAACAGAGAGACGCCACUAGUAAGGGUUAGCAAGUGUAAAUUAAUGUUCUGGCAAGCAAAAGUGUGCCACAUUAUUAAAAGUCACUCUGUAUGCUGAGCAUAUUCCAGCUGACUUCAGGUGAAGGCAGGGGACACCAGUCUAUCACAGGGCCAUACAAUCACACUCACAUUCACACCUACGGGCAAUUCAGAUUCACCAGUUAACCUGAACAUAUUUUUGGACUGUGGUAGGAAGCCCGAAUACCCGGAGAAAACCCACACAUGAACAGGGAGAACAUACGAACUCUAUGCAGAAAGAUCCCAGGAAGGCCGGGACAUGAAGUGGGGAUCUUCUACCUGCAAGGUGAAAGUGCUGACUGCCAAGUCACUGUGCAGCCCAAUAAAGUACAUGCCAAGCAAUAACAACAAAUGAUCAGAUUUGUAGUAUUUACAUUUAAGUUGACUUGAAUGAUUGACAAUGUCAUUGAGCAACAUGCAAGAAAACAUUCCAUGUUAGUAGCUGCUGGCUGCCAUUCAGCAGCUACUUUUAAAUCUAAAACAAAGUAACUAAAACAUCAAACUUAUUUAAAGCCCUUAUUUCUUACCAGUUAUACCUUGUUCAUCAUUGUUAAUGCUAGAGUCCAUUAGGGUUGGGGUCUAAAGUGUGGGUGGAACAAAUUUAUUGACAGAAAUAAUUUAAUUGUUGACUAGCAGCCUGCCGUAGAAUAGCUAUCUGACUGAUAACAAGAUACUAAAUCAAUACAGGCAUUAUCCCUUUGAGAGGAGUAUUAUCCAGUUCCUUUGGCAAAUAAAUGAAUUGUAGCCACCUGACUUUAUUAACUGUUCAUAAAGUCAGCCUGAUGUGUGGUCAGUUACAGUUGGCGAAUGAAUGUUUUCUUGUCACUGUGUAAACAGCAAUUACAUAAUAUUUGACAGGAGCCACACUUAACUGUGCAUGAGGACAUGUGUCAAAGGUGUGCACAUGUACUGAACUAAAGCCUUGUUUGAUAUGUGAAGAGUGAAUGUUUUGUUGUCACAAAGUCUUGUUCUUUUCUAUCUUUGUCAGUAACAAAUAAGAAAUUGAAAUAGGUUUCAAUCCUGAAAAGCUUCAGGCAUAGCAAGACCUAUCUUCACAGCUUUGUGUCAGCACUGGAGAUGCUACAUAUGAUUAUCAUUUUUCUGUAGGGAAAACAACACACUAGAUUGUUUGUAUUUCUUUAAACCAUACUCAUCUUGGUUCCUGAUAAGUCUGACAUGCAGUGUUGAUGCCCUGCUACAGUAUAGUCAUGAGGGAAUUGUUUUGGUGGAACACUAGAAUGCAAGAAGUGAAGGACUGUCAUGGAUUACUGAGCAUGCCUGUCUUAUUGCAUGAUCUAAAUCUUUGUCAAAACUUGCUGUUUUCAGUGUGUAGGUUGCUGCAUGGAGGUUGCUGUUGUUGGUAUCUGUUGCUAAGGGGAUUUUGGAAAUGGUAACAUGGAGAUAGGGGAAGAGGAAGAGAAAGCUAUGUAAGAAAAAAACUCUUGUAAUAUUGUCCUUUUUGGUGAUGAUUCCUUUUUCAUAAAGCCUCACCAGUAAACUGCUCUGGUUUUAA